GACGAACGCUGGCGGCGUGCCUAAUACAUGCAAGUCGAACGCAGUUGGGACGGGUGAGUAACACGUGGGUAACCUCCCAUCAGAGCGGAUAACACUUGGAAACAGGUGCUAAACCGAUACUGUUGGCUGGACCCGCGGUGCAUUAGCUAGUUGGUGAGGUAACGGUUCACCAAGGCCACGAUGCAUAGCCGACCUGAGAGGGUGAUCGGCCACACUGGGACGGAUACACGGCCCAGACUCCUACGGGAGGCAGCAGUAGGGAAUAUUCGGCAAUGGACGAAAGUCUGACCGAGCAACGCCGCGUGAGUGAAGAAGGUUUUCGGAUCGGAAAACACUGUUGGUAGAGAAGCGGUAUCUAAACAGAAAGCCACGGCUAACUACGUGCCAGCAGCCGCGGUAAUUC
This 403-nucleotide ribosomal RNA is filed under the name uncultured bacterium. Its description in RNAcentral is "partial 16S ribosomal RNA". It matches the Rfam family "Bacterial small subunit ribosomal RNA", at positions 28 to 526 of the family's 1533-position model. The record is from RNAcentral.